Molecule: long non-coding RNA, 17743 nt
Filed under: Lynx pardinus (Iberian lynx)
Lineage: Eukaryota; Metazoa; Chordata; Mammalia; Carnivora; Felidae
Source: RNAcentral
UGCUCUGCCUGAGGGUACAGAAGGGGAGGUACUCAACUGUGGGACAGAUCAGAACACAGGGGGCUGAGCUCCUCGCCACCUGUCCCUACACCCAGGAAUCCGGGCCCCUGGCCCCUCGUCCCUCAGACCCAGGAGUCCCGGCCCCUAGACCCUCCUCCCUCAGACCCAGAGGUCCAGACCUCCACCCACCUCCUCCCUCAGACCCAGGAGUCCAGGCCGACAGCCCCCACAUCCCUGAGACCCAAAAAUCUGGGCCCCCAGCCCCUCCUCCCUCAGACCCAGAAGUCCAGGCCUCCACCCCCCUCCUCCCUCAGACCCAGGAGUCCAGACCCCCAGACCCUCCUCCCUCAGAUGAGGGAGUCCUGACCACCAGCCCCUCCUCCCUCAGACCCUCCUCCCUCAGACCCCUCAGCUCCUCCUCCCUCAGACCAGGAGUCCAGACCCCCAGCCCCUCCUCCUUCUGACCCAGGACCCAGACCCCCAGCCCCUCCUCCCUCAGACCCAGGAGUCCAGACCCCCAGCCCCUCCUCCCUCAGACCCUGGAGUCCAGACCCCCAGCCCCUCCUCCCUCAGACCCAAGAUCCUGAACCCCAGCCCCCUCCUCCCCCAGACCCAGGAGUCCAGACCCCCAGCACCCACAUCCCUCAGACCCAAAAAUCUGGGCCCCCAGCCUCCUCCGCCUCCCUCAGACCUCCCCUAUCAGGAACCAGAAGUCCAGGCCCCCAGCCCCUCCUCCCUGGGAAUGUAGACCUUAGGUCCCAGGGGACUGAACUCACCUUGACCAGGUAACCCCCAAAAUGGGCUCCCAUGUUGGAUAGAACCUUCUUCUUUUUGGCAUCAUCCUCAGCCCGCUUCUUGGCCUCUUCUUCCUCCUUCCGCAUUUUCUCCUCCUAAGGGAAGAAAGGGGUUGACCCCAAGGCCACCCUCUGGGGGGAGGGGUCUGAGAUUCCGGUGGGGGAGGGGGGGGCUCAGGUGUGAGCUGAUGGAAGCAGCAAUCAAAAUCAACCAGACCCAAGGCACGGGACAAAGUCAAGGUCAGGAAAGGCAAAAAUGCAGGCAUUCUGCUCGUGGCCCUUCCAGGCCCGGCUCUGUGACCACCUGGGCUCUGUGACCACCUGUGAGUCCCUUUCCUCUCUGGUCCUUAAUAUCCCUCAAGCAAGAAUUAAAAUGCAAGGGAUGUGCCUGCUUGUUUUCUACAUUCCUGUAGCCUGAAGGCCGAUGGUGAGCGUUGCUGUGUGGCCUCAGUGCAGAUACUCACCCUCUCUGGGCCUUCAUCUCCCUUAUUCUCAGGAGACAAGAAUGUCUCAGAGGAUGAAGGAGGGUAACUGGUGACGGGGUGGGGGGCUUGGGGCACUAGAAGGGGCUGAAUGGCCUCGAGCCUGAGGAAGGGGUUCUGGAACGUCUAGUGACGGCAUCCCCACGUUUCAGAAAGCCUGCACCGCGUGCCCCAGAAAUGGUGGCUUGCAGACCAACCCCUCUGCCCCCUGGAAGUGCUGGUGAGGUGGGCACGAUGGGUUUUUGCAGGCCCCACCUGAAUCAGUGUCCUCCUGCUGCUGUAAUUGGCAAACUGAGGGGCUUAAACCAGCAAAAGCUUAUCACCUUACAGCUCCGAGGGUCAGAAGUCUGAAAUGGGUCUUACGGGCUAAAACCAAGGAGUGAAGAGGGCCGGUUCCUUCUGGGGGCUCCUGGGGAGAAUCUACUCCCUUGCCCUUGCUUCUAGGCACCGCAUGCAACCCUUGGCUCCUGGCCCCUUCCUCCCUCUGCAAAGCUAGCAGGACGGUAUCUUCAAGUAUCUCUGACUCUGACCCUACGGUCUCCCUGUUGUAAGGACCUUUGUGAUAACACGAGGCCGAUCUGGAUAAUUCAGAAUCAUCUCCCACCUCAACGUCCUUAACUCGAUCGCACCUGCAAAGUCCCUUUUGCCAUGCCAGGUACCAUAUUCACAGACUCUGGGAAUUGGGACAUGAACAUCUUUGGGAGACCAGUAUCUUGCCGACCGUGUCAGUCUACUACCAAUCUUUGAAAGUGGUUCAGGCGGGCCACUCCUUGAUUCCAAGUCAGGUCGUGCCUCCAAGGCCCUACACCAACGGGAAUAUUCUAACCAGGGGCCUACCACUAGCCAGCAAUUUGCUCCAAGACGGACAGGUGACCAGUCUGAACGCACCCCGGGAUCAUGCAGAAGACAGACAAAAGAGUUUGAGCCCAAGUAGCUGGUGGUCAUUUGUCACCCCUGCCUGAGAACGGGGUGUCCAGUAGGGUGACCAACAACUCCGUUCGCCUCGGUCUGGUGGGAUACAGGAUUUUCAGGGCGCCGACCAGGAAAGUCCCAGGCAAACCCAGGAUGAGCUCACCACCCGCAAUUAGAAAGGUGAGCCCGGGGGAUGGGAAGAGAAGAGCUGGGAGAGUUUGCUUAAGUUCCUUGAUCCAGCCAUACCUGAAGCAAGUCACACUCUACACUUGUCUAGUUAUGUGAGCCAAUAAAAUUCUCUUUCUGCUGAACCCAGUUUGGGCUGGGGUUUCUGCCCCUUCCAACCGACAGACCCUUGAAUAACACAGCACAAGGGCUCUCUCAGGACCGCAGACAGUAUCAUGACUGGGAAACAGAGCAACCAGCUGAAGAAGUACAUUUGGUCUCCCAGGGGAGGGGAGGCACCCACCGCCAGCUUAGCCUGCCGCUCGCGCUCCUUCUCGGUUCUGAAGCGCUGUUGCUCAGCUCUCUCUGCCCGGCGCCGCUCCUGGAGGAGAGAGCAAAAUGAGGGGGUGUAGGAACCCCCCCUCCCCCCCCCCCCCCCCCNNNNNNNNNNNNNNNNNNNNNNNNNNNNNNNNNNNNNNNNNNNNNNNNNNNNNNNNNNNNNNNNNNNNNNNNNNNNNNNNNNNNNNNNNNNNNNNNNNNNNNNNNNNNNNNNNNNNNNNNNNNNNNNNNNNNNNNNNNNNNNNNNNNNNNNNNNNNNNNNNNNNNNNNNNNNNNNNNNNNNNNNNNNNNNNNNNNNNNNNNNNNNNNNNNNNNNNNNNNNNNNNNNNNNNNNNNNNNNNNNNNNNNNNNNNNNNNNNNNNNNNNNNNNNNNNNNNNNNNNNNNNNNNNNNNNNNNNNNNNNNNNNNNNNNNNNNNNNNNNNNNNNNNNNNNNNNNNNNNNNNNNNNNNNNNNNNNNNNNNNNNNNNNNNNNNNNNNNNNNNNNNNNNNNNNNNNNNNNNNNNNNNNNNNNNNNNNNNNNNNNNNNNNNNNNNNNNNNNNNNNNNNNNNNNNNNNNNNNNNNNNNNNNNNNNNNNNNNNNNNNNNNNNNNNNNNNNNNNNNNNNNNNNNNNNNNNNNNNNNNNNNNGCGGCCUCCCAAAGGGAGCGGGACCCGGCGCCUCUUCCCAAUUUGCACAAAAGCGCCCUGGGGACCGGAUGUCCAGGUACUUACAUCGAAGUCCACACGUUCCCCUUCUGGGAUCUUCGGGGGAAUCAGCGGAGGGACCACAGGCCUGUCGGGCGGAAAGGGGGGAAAACUGGGGCUCCCGGGCUGCGCCGACCAGCAGGUGGCAGCCACGCGCGGUUCGGAGCACCAGGCAGGUGGCUGGCUCGUCCGAAUCCAGAUUCCGUGGGCUUGCCAGUGAAAUUUCCAAAACUUGCCGCCAGCAAACGCAUGUAAAAUAGUUCACUAAUAAUGUGUCCUACCGAUUACAUGUUCAAAUGAUGAAAUUUCAGAUAUAAUGGGUUGAAUUAAAAAAAUGCUGUUAAGAUGAAUUUUACCCGUUUUGUGUUACUUUUUAAAACGUGGCUUGUAAAAAAUAUAUAGUUACAGACGCGGCUUGCGUUGUAUUCGUACAGGGCGGUGCAUUGGGGGCGGAGCGUGGUCAGCCCUCCAUCCGGCUUUAAUCGGAAUUCUCGCCUCUGUUUUUUUUUUUUUUUUUAUGUUUUUAUUUAUUUUUGAGACAGAGAGACAGAGCAUGAGCAGGGGAGGGGCAGAGAGGGAGGGGGACACAGAAUCCAAAGCAGGCUCCAGGCUGUCAGCACAGAGCCCGACUCGGGGCUCGAACUCACGGAGUGUUCUAUCAUGACCUGAGCUGAAGUCGGACGCUUAACCGACUGAGCCACCCAGUCGCCCCUCUCCUCUGGUUUUUAAGACAGCACGUUCACCUGAUUUCUUCCCGCUCCUCUGAAGGGAGCUCUUCUGAGAGCUUUGCCCUUUUAUUCAUCCAUGGGACACUCUCAUGACCCGUGUCCCUCACUUCCGUGACUUUGAUUAUCAUUAAUUAUGGGGGAUUCACCGACUCCGUCUCCAGCCUGGACUCGCUUCUAAGUCCCAGACUCAGGUUAACAGGAGCCUCCUGAACAUUUCCCGCUUUCUCACAUGUCACGCCCUCGCUGAACUCAUCGACUUCCCCAAGACCGAGUGGGGUUCCCAGCCCAGACCCCAGACCGUGGUCCUUACCUCCUCCCUCCCUUCGCCCCAAUGGCAAGUCCUGACCCCUUUGCCUGGCAAUCUCCCCAGUCUGUUCCCUCCUUUCCACCCCUUGCCCCCUGCCCCAGCUCAGGCCUCAGUCCUUCUCACCAGAACCUUCCUGCCAGCCUCCUCCUGGCCUCCCAUUCUCCAGCUGUCCACCUUCGGUUCCUCAUCUUUCAUGACUUUAGAGGGGCAUUUCUAACACCCAGAUCGCAUCCUUAAGACAAAGUCCAAGCAACUCAGCAUUCAAAGCCCUUCUCCAUCCGGCCCCAGUCAACUCCUCCAGCAACUUCUCUCCUCCCUCACAGACACAUUUCACGGUUCCCUGGCUAAGCCAUGUGCCUUUGUACCCCUGGGCCUUUCAUAUGCUGUUCCCUCUGCCUGCAAUGCCCUUCCCCUGAGGCCUUCCCUCCUCCUGAAGCACACCUAUGAUCUCUUGCUCCCCCUUACUCUCUCACUCAGGUCUGUCUCCUCUACUCAAAACCCCUCCAGGACUCCCCAGGGCCCCCUGGCCUUCAGGGCCCCGCCCCUUCUUGCCCUCCACACUCCAGCCACAAUGGAAUUGGUGUCACUGCCCAAACCAACCCAGAGAACUCUGCUUCUAAGUUAUUUCUUAUGCUUGCGUUGCUGCCUCCUUGCGUCUCCAAGCUUGGGCCCCGAUGUCACUUCCUCCAGGACCCUCUGCCCCCAUGAGCUUUCAUGGCCUCCACAGAGCUGCCUAGUUUGGAACCUCAUCAUCAGAAUGAGCUGUGUCUGUGUUGGUUCCCUGAAAGCCUGGCCUAGAUCCAGCCGCCACACCCUGCAGGCUUUCUCACCUACAAUACCCCUCCGGCCUCCUUCAGCUAGUGAACUCUUCAUCCCUCAGGACUGAGGCAUCACCUCCCCUGGGAAGCCUUCCCUGACUACCUAGGGCAAACAUAGGGCCCUCUUCUGUGCUACCAUCACUGUAACGGGGUCUGUUGCCCCAACAGAGCAGACAGGGUCUGACUUGCCCAACACCACGGGAAGGUCUCUGGAACGUGUGCUGAAAGAAGGAAGCCCUGUCCUUUCCCGUUUCAAUUGCCCCAGCUCCUUUCCUGCUUUCCCCCCCCCCACCCUAUCUCUGGUGGGGCACACAUUAAGGAGGAUAAGAUUGGGACGCCCCCCACCUCCACCCUCCUAGGAUCUCACCUUGGUUUGGGCCGCUCCUCUUCUAAUGGGGAAACACAAAGAGAUAAUUAACAAGAGUUCAUAGGGGCUGGCCUGACACGCCCAGAGAGGGAACACCCCCCUCCAAGCUAUGGCCCCCAGGAGCAGCUCUAGGGGAGAGGCAUGAGUGGGGGGCAAGAGGGGGGAAGGAAAUCAGGGUGGCCGUAAAGGAGGAAGAGGGUCACACGCAUCAGAUAUACAUUCAGAACUGGUGUGGGGAUCCCCCCCCCACAGGGGUCCAAACCCCCAGACCUUCCUCCUAUCACCUCCUAUCACCUGCUCAGCUCCCUCCCCCGCACCCCCCUCCCCCGCAUUAAGACCUAGCACUGCAGGGUGUCCCCAGCCCCUCCCCCUUGGGGACACAGGAAUCCCGAGCUCCCAGUAAUAGCCUCUUCUGCAACUCGGGCCCCAACCUUUGAAUGUAUAUGUCGGAAAAAAAUAACAGACAGGGUCGGGGGCGAAGAUGGGCGGGAGGGGGAGGGUGCCUGUCCGCAAACAUCCAACCCUUCUACAAGUAUUCCUCCAGGUUGGGGAAGAAGGCUUGGGUGUCGGUCCCUUUAAGAAGGAAGGGAAAGGGUUAAAGCCUCAGCGAGGCCAUUUCCCUUCGUGGACACCAGAGGGCGCGCGAGCUCUCCGGGGCUUAAAGGACCGGGCCUGGGCGGGUUACGGGGGGCGCAGGGGUUCCUCGCGGGGGUCAGGGCCCGAGGAAAUCGGUCUCGGCAAGCGAAGCAGCCGCGGUUACCUCGCUCUGCCACCGGCUCCGGCUCCUCGGCGGCUGGGAGGAGGCAGGGGGGAGGGGGAGAGGGGAGAAGCGAGGAUGGGGGAGCGAGGGGGAGCGGCCACGCCGGGGAGUGGGGGGCAGAGAGGAAAGAGAGGGGAGAGGCUGUUAAAGGACCUGAAGCCGGGGCGGUCGGGAGCCCCGUCCCCGCCGGCCUCUGCCCUGCCCAGCGCCCCCUCCCCACCCGGCCCCGCGGGGCAGCCCUCGAGGCUGCAGCCCCGCGGAGUCCAGGCCUCACCUUCCUCCUCCUCCUCCUCCGCAGCCUCCUCUGCAGGUAGGGGUGGGGGCAGAGAAAGCAGGGUUAGGAGACCUCGGGGCCCGCGCAAGGCGCCGGGACCCCGGAGGGUGGGCGUGGGGGCGGUGGGUGACCCCGCCUGCCCUCUCGCCUCCCGCCUCCCGCCUGCGUGUCCCCAGGCCACCAAGGCCGGCCCACUCCCCACUCACCUUCGGGCUGCUCCCUGAGGGCAGGGAUGGGAGGAAAGAGCGAGAGGGACGGUUAGACGUCUUGCAGGUGGGAGAAUGUUCCCACAUCUCCACGCCCCCAGCCCUCCCGCCUGCCACUCACUCCUCAUAUUCCUGCUCCUCGGUGUCAGACAUCCUGUGUGACCUGAGGACCACAAAACGCGGCAGUGAGAUGGGGUCCCGAUGGAGGAGGGGCUGAGGGCCUGGACUCCUGGUCUGAGGGAGGAGGGUCUGGGGUUCAGGACUUUCGGUUCUGAGGGAGGAGGUCCUGGGAGGUCAGGACUCCUAGUUCUGAGGGAGGAGGGGCUGGGGGUCAGGACUCCUGGGUCUGAGGGAAGAGGGACUGGGGGUCAGGACUCCUAGGUCUGAAGGAGGAGGGGCUGGGGUUCAGGACUCCUGGGUCUGAGGGAGGAGGGGCUGGGGGGCAGGACUCCUGGGUCUGAGGGAGGAAAGGCUGGGAUCUGGACUCCUGGGUCUGAGUGAGGAGGGGUUUGGGGCCUGGGGCCUGGUCUGAGGGAAGAGGGACUGGGGGUCAGGACUCCUAGGUCUGAAGGAGGAGGGGCUGGGGUUCAGGACUCCUGGGUCUGAGGGAGGAGGGGCUUGGGGCCUGGUCUGAGGGAGGAGGUCCUGGGGGUCAGGACUCCUAGGUCUGAAGGAAGAGGGGCUGGGGGGCAGUACUCCUGACUGGGGGCCUGGACUCCUGGGUCUGAAGGAGGUGGGGCUGGGGGCCUGGACUAUUGGGUCUGAGGGAGGAGGGGACUGGGGGCCUGGUCUGAGGGAGGAGGGGCUGGGUGUAGCUGGGCUCUUAGGUCUGACGGAAGAGGGGCAGGGGGGCGGCAGGGGGCCUGGACUCUUGGGUCUGAGGGAGGAGAAGCUGGGGGCCAGGACUCCUGGGUCUGAGGAAGGAGGGGCCGGGGGCCCUGACGGGGAAAGGGCUUUGGGCGGUGUGGUCGGGCACAGCCCCAAAGCCACCACUCCUGCCCCUCCACCACCACAGCUGUCCUCUUUUGUCUUAUGACAUGUCCAUGGGAACCCGAUCUGAGCUGGGAUUAGGAGAAGGUAUUUGGGAAGGGACUGUGGCCUGAAGACAAUAGCUGUCCCACCUCCAAAGGCUAUUUCGGGGGGAUGUCGUAGAUGGUGAAAUAGAGGACAUUUCCUAAGAAGGGAUUCAAGGGGGGAGGCUCCUGGGAGACUUAGUCACCCCCGCUCCCUCCCACCCCUCCCCCUCCCCUCUGGCUGGUUACCUUCCCACCUGUCCCCUCCUUUCCCCACUGCCCACAGCCUAGGAGGAGGCAGGACGGGACAAGAGCAGCCCCGUCCACAGACCUCAUCCUGACCCCUACAGGGACACCACCCCGACUUUGAGGUCCUCCAGGCUCCACAGCACCCAGGUUAAGAGCAUCCCUAAAUCCUGAUACCCGCAGAUCCUGAGACCCCAAUUUACGACGUCGUCCCUGGUUUCUGGGGACACGCAAGUCCUCAUGUCUCCAGAUUCCGAGACCCCAAUACUUGAGACCCCAGACUGUGGGCUCAGACUUCCUCAGAUCCUGACGCCUGAGGUCUUAACACCUAAGUUCUGAAGCCUCAGCAUCCUGAGACCCCCAAUUCCUGAAUCCCCAGAGUCUGAGGCCCCCAGUCCUGACAUUCAGAUUGUCUAAUAUCCAAGCCCAGAUACCCCCCAAUUUCUGAGAUUCCCUCAGACUCAGACCUCCCAGGUCUGAAGGUGUGCUCCUCUGGGACGCCCCAAUCUCGGCACCCCCAGACUCUGUAAUUCCCAAAUCCUAAUACUCCAUCCUAGGUCCCCAUAAGGGCUGAGCUUCCCAAAUUCUCAAGCCUUUAUUUGGUGCCCCCUCCACCUCCGUGGCUCCUCUCCACACCCCUCGCGUUUCCCUCCCGUCCCCUCCUCCAAGUACAAAGUCCCUGGAGACAGCAGGACCGUUACCUAAGGCUGGGUCUGCAGGAGCGGAGAACGGCGGCGGGGCAGAGCCUGGCUGACCGAGCUGAAGCACCCCUGGGUUUAUAGCUGAGGCUCAGCCCCGCCUCCCAGGGGACAGGGAGGGGGAGGAAUUCCUUUCUCCAACUGGGAGUCCCAGCUCUGGGGCGGCCCUGCCCCCACUCGGGCUCCACAUUUAGGAUCCUGGCUCCUCCCGGCUGCUUGGGGACCCCUCCACCCCAUCAGCACCGCCCUGAUCCCAGGCUGGGUCAGGUGACCCCGACCUCUGGGCUCCCCACCUCCCGUACAGCACGCUGCAUUCUCUGCUUUGGAGUCCCUGGGCUCAGCACACAGUAGGUCCUUGGAGAAUAGUUAUUGACAAAAGGGGGACCGUGGGGCGCUUGCUUUCUCCCUUGUGGUUUCUGUCUCUGGGCCUCCACCUCUCUGACACUGCCUCUCCUUUGUCCCUGUGACUCUCCGCCUGUGGGUCUGUCUUUCCCUCUGUCUCUGUCCAUCUCUCUGUCUCCCCCUCCCCACCCCCACCCCUUUGUCUGCCACCCGGAUUCCACCCCGGUGACAACAGGCGCUAAAGCGGGGAAGCAGGUGUGGGUGGGGGGAAGGGAGAGGGUGUGGUGUCAGGCCCGCACCACCUCACACUCCCCCACCUCCGUCUGACACUGAUCUGUUUUGGUGUUCCUCCCUCCCCCCCCUCCUUUCCCUGCCAAGCCGUGACCUUGAACUCUAGGGGAGCCAGCCCCGAGGGCGGGAUUCCUCACCCCUCCUGCCUCCCCGUGUCUCUGUCUCUCACUGUCUGCCAUCUCUGUUUCUAUUUCUGUGACUUUCUCGGAGGGGGGGGGGAGGGUCUCUUUGGGUCUGUUCCAGGCUCUCCCGGGAGCUUUCUGCGUCUCUGCGGUUUUCACUCUGCACGUCUCCCCAUGCAUUUUUGUCUCCACAUUUCUGCGGGUGUCUCGGCCAAUCUGCAUCUCUCGGUAUCUGUCUGCUGGUGUCUGUCCGUGACCCCGUUUCUGUCUCUGUCUGGCUCUGGAUCCGUGUCUGUGUCUUUCUAGCUCUUCCCGGGGGGUCUGUGUCUCUGCCCUUCCCCCUACUUGGGCCCCCCUUUUUGUCUCUUUCCAUGGCCUCUGUGUUUCCUUGUGUACAUCUGCCUCUCCACUUCCCCUUUCUUUGCAGAUCUUUCUAGGAAUGGCUGUCUCGUCUCCCUCUCUUUGGGUCUCUGGCUCUCUCUGGGCCUGUGACUCAGUCUCUCUGUGUCUCUGUGCGUGUCUCUCUCUGGGCCUUGGUCGGGGCAUCUCCGUGCACCCCCAUUCUCACUCCCAGAGGAGCUGCGAAUGCCCGCACGGCCCCUGGCCACCCAUGCUGUGUGGUGUGGCUUCUCCGUCUCCCUCACGCCACAGCCCCCGCCCCGGUAGCAAGACGUGCAGCCACUCUUAGCUCAGAGAGAAGCUUUAUUCCUCAGGGACGCCUUCUGCCUUCAGGGCCAGGGCGGCGGGGCAGCCAGCUCAGCCCUCAAACUUUUUCUUGCGGCCCUCCAUGCCACUCAGCGCGUCGAUGUUUUUCCGCCAGUCUCCCACCUCCCGGUUUUCCUGGAGGGGUGGGUUCAGAGGUGAGGGGCUCUCAAGUAUCCUCCGCCCACCCUCCAGCCUCUCCUUGGGAUGUCCAGCCCGGGAUCUGGUUCUGGAACACUCCUUGUCCCCUCAGGCAGUCCGUUCAACCCCCCCCCCCCAUCCUGUCUCCCUCAGGCACUUCUAGCCUCCUUGCUUGCCGGUUACUUCCUGUUACACCCUGCGGCUUCCCUUCUUGUCUCCCGCGUGCUCUAUUCUUCUCUCUAUUCCUCUCUAGUGGGGACUUCCUGUUGUAGACCUCAGGCGCAUUUUGACUCCUCGCUACUUCCUUUCUCCACAGUGCCUGUUGAGGCUCCCUGGCCAGAUUCUUCCCCCCAUAACCCAAGUACCAUCUGUCCUGAGCUUAGGCCCCAGGAGUGCUCCCCCCACACCCUCUCCUCUGAGCACCCCCUUUCCUGGCCCUAGCCGCACUCACCUUCUCUGUGUCCUCCUUCUUCACCUGCUUGAGGUGGGCCCGCAGGUCUAAGGACUCCUUAGCCCUAGUGCCCAGCAGUGCCUGCAUCAUGGCAUCCGCAGAGAUCCUCACCCUCCGCAGGGUGGGCCGCUUAAACUUGCCCCGAAGGUCAAAGAUCUUCUGGGUCAGAUCUGCGAUCUGGGGGCAGCCAUCAGGGGAGUGGAGACUUGCCCUCCUCCGGUCCCCCCCUCCCCCAGCCCCACUCUCGCACCCUACACCUCCCUCCUAUCUCCCUCCAGGCCUCAUCCAGGCUCUCCCUCCCUCAGCUCCCACCGCCUUCAGGAAAACAUCCAAGCUCCUCAUCCAGGAACUGGCAGCCCUCCCGGAUCUGCCCAGCCUCAUCUCUGAAAAACACUGACACUUCCUGGCCCAGCUGCACGCAUCCCACAAAAUUCCCUGUGCCACGCGUGAGCUCGCUCAUCAACCCUCCGCGCUCCGGCGACACAUUUCCGAGAACACGUCUUCUGUUUUCCCACCUCCUGGCUGCUGCAUGCUGUCCCCUCUGCCUGGAACAGCCUUCCCUAACCGCUUUGUACUCAUUCUUCUGCUCCUGUCUGCCAGGCCCACAGAGCUGACCCGGGUCUCUCGGUGUCUGCCACCACAAGCAGCUGCAAGAGAUCAGGCUGAGACCACAGCCCCAGGCACCACACCCUACCCUGGAAGGAAGGAGACUGCCCAAUGCCUCCCACCUCCGUGAUGUUCUUGGUGACUUUUGCCUCCACGUCGUAUCUCUCUUCAUCCACUUUGUCCACGCGGGCGUGGAGUUGUCGGCACAAGUCCUGGUCAAGGAAUGUGGUGUAUGUGGUGGUGCUGGGGGGGAGGGGUGUGUCCCGAUUCCUGCAUCUGAGGGAGGAGGGGCCGGGGGCCUGGACAUCAGAUCCUGCAGGAGUAGUUUGAAGCCCGACUCUGGAGCGGUUGGAACAAAGGGUGCUAGGAGCCAGGGGUCCCGAGAAUCUGACGGAAUCGGGGCUGGAGAAAUCAACCUCUGGCUUUUGGGACUUGUAGGCAGCUGCGGGCCGUAUUUCUGAACUCCUGAGAGGAAGGAUUGGGAGACUGGACCCCAAGGUCCCGAGCAGAAGUGGGGGAUAGUGACUAGACCUGUGAGUCGUCCCAAGGAUGCAGGACGGGACACUAGGAACCUCGGAUCCCGGGCCGGGCCGGAGUCCCAGAGGAGUACCUGCAGCUCCGCGAAGCCCAGCCCGGCCAACUCCAGAGGCUGGCACCGCGUGCUCAGAGCGCGCCCCUUCUCUCCGCGCCGCUCCUCCGCCUCCCGCUCAAGCUCCUGCUUCGCGAUCUGCAGCAUCAGGGUCUGCGGAGGGGAGGCCGGGGACCGCAGCCCGUCCGGGGCAGCGCAUGAGGGCCGUGCGGUACCGGGAAAGCCGCGCCGGCCAAGUCGGCCCACCAGUCCCCAGCUAGGACGGUCUUCUGGAGACACGCCCCUCCGGGGCCUGUCCAUCAUUCCAAGGCCCCGCCCCCUCGUGGGGCUACCCACCACACGGCCACGCCCACCCAUACAAGCACGACUCUCCAGCCCUGCUCGCCCCCCGCGAGGACACCGAGGCGCCCUCUCCAGGCCUAUCCUCACCUUCAGCUGCAGUUUCCUCGAGGCGGAAAUCUUGGACUUUUUCUGCCGGGGUGAGACGGAGCAAGGAGCAAUCAAGGCGGGGAGGCGAAGACGGGCGGUGAGAGGGGCCUCACGGCCGCUCCCUCAAGCCCCGCCCAGAUUCGGCCCGCCUCCAACGCCUGCCCUGAAUCUACCGGAGGCCUCGCCCCUUAGUCCCCUCCACCAAUCCGAACUUCUGACUGAUUAGGCACCGCCCCCUACGCCCUAAGCAAUCGCAGUUCCCUUGGGCAACGGAACUCCGCCCAUACGCAGCUUUCACCGAUCCGAGCCAGGCCCUCGGCAAAACUCCGCCCCCGAGGUGCCCCAUCCGCCUUGGCUCCGCCCACUACCGGAGCCCCGCCCCUCCUUCCCCAGGUUCAGACAGCCUCCGCGGACUCUGAGCCCAGACUCGUGGAGCUCGGCGCUCACCUUGGCGUGCGGCUCCGUGGCGUACGCACGGUAGUUAGCGGAGGACCGGCGUCGGACCGGGGCCGGCGCGGGAGGCGGGCAGCCCGCCUGCGGUUGGGGGAACGGAGCCGCGUCACCGCCGGAUUCCCCAGCCCCCCUGCACAAGGUCUCCUGGGGCUACAGCCUCCCGCCCCAGGUCCCGCCCUGCUGCUCCCUCCCUUGCCGGGCGCCUCCCGCCCGCGUCUGCUCUCACCGCAUCGUUGCUGCUGGAGGAAGAGAGACCGGGAGCGAGGGGUUAACAUGGGCCUGUGUCCUGUCCUGCCAGCCCAACAGCUCCCCCGUCCUCGGGUCCUAGGAGGUCUGAUUCCCAAACUUCCGUCGUACAGACACCCGGGAGUCCUGUCUCCACCUCCCCUCUCAGGCCGUGUGCCCAGCCUCGCAGGUCUCAACCUCUCAGGACCCCGGGAGAUCGCCCCACCUCUCGCCGCCUCGGACCUUGGGAUUCCGGGUUACCAGGCUGCACUCACUUGUCCGCCAUGCUGAGACUCAGGCCAGGGCUUGCAGGAGGCAGAGAAGGGGCAAGAGGCGCUUGGAGGGUCAGUAAGGAGGCGUCCGGGGUGACCUUGAAGGCCCCGGGGACUUUGGUCUCCUCCGGCCUGCCCAAGCUUCCCGGAGGACACUGAGAUAAAGGGCGAGAACUGAGACUAAAUAUACUGCUGCCGCCUCCUCCCCCUGCCCAGGAUGCGAGAUAACUGGGGCGCGUGAGGGGUGGGGUGGGCCAUGCUCCAGCUGGAUCACCCUUCCACCUUGGCGGCCUGGGGAUCCAGCCCCCUCCUCCUUCCGACCUAGGAGUCCAGGCCCCCAGCCCCCUCCUCCCCCAGACCCAGGAGUCCAGGCCCCCAGCCCCUCCUCCCUCAGACCCAGGAGUCCUGACCUCCAGCCCCUCCUNNNNNNNNNNNNNNNNNNNNNNNNNNNNNNNNNNNNNNNNNNNNNNNNNNNNNNNNNNNNNNNNNNNNNNNNNNNNNNNNNNNNNNNNNNNNNNNNNNNNNNNNNNNNNNNNNNNNNNNNNNNNNNNNNNNNNNNNNNNNNNNNNNNNNNNNNNNNNNNNNNNNNNNNNNNNNNNNNNNNNNNNNNNNNNNNNNNNNNNNNNNNNNNNNNNNNNNNNNNNNNNNNNNNNNNNNNNNNNNNNNNNNNNNNNNNNNNNNNNNNNNNNNNNNNNNNNNNNNNNNNNNNNNNNNNNNNNNNNNNNNNNNNNNNNNNNNNNNNNNNNNCCUCAGACCCAGGAGUCCUGACCCCUCAGCCCCUCCUCCCUCAGACCCAGGAGACCAGACCCCUCAGCCCUGCCUCCCUCAGACCCAGGAGUCCAGACCCCCAGACCCUCCUCCCUCAGACCCAGGAGUCCAGGCCCCCAGCCCCUUCCUUCCUCAGACCCAGGAGUCUGGGCUCCACCUCCACGCUAAAGUGCAGUCUCCAUGAGAGCUAUGGUCAGUUUCACUGCCCCAGACCUCUUAGCCACUCAAUAAAUUUUGAUUUAUUUCAGGAUCCAGGUGUGGCCCAGACUCUCGCAGGCAACAGCACAGAGAAACCCACUUCUAGUUUACUUGGAACUAGGUCUCCUCUCUUGACCACCCUAGGCCCUCCCCUCCCCCAGCCCUGGAGACAAGACUGAGGACAGGAAAGCUACACGGGCACACGGAGAAGAGGACCCCGCUCUCUUUACUUGGACCGUGUGGGUGCUGACUAGCCGUGGAGAGCAGACCACCCCAAACCCCAGUUAAAACAGGACCUCUGGCGACAAGGGGACCACACAGAGGGCCUGAGCCUCAGGGCCAGAUCGCCAGGCUGUGUGUAGAGGCUCAGGAAUGGGAUGGAGAACUCUGAGAGAACCAUCUAGAAUUCUAAGAACAGACUAUAGCAUCCCAGGAAUGUAAUCUGAAAUUCUAGCAACACCUCUGAAGCUGAUUGAGAAUGUUGAGAGUGUAACUGAGUAUUCUACAGGCGGGCUCUACUUCCGGGACCUGACUAGAGGUCAGAGAUGGGGGGCUGGGUAUCUGGCAGUCGGGGCAGACUCCCUGGUUUGGGGGUCUGACUCCCUGUGGGCGGAGCCUGAACCUCUGAGAGUGAAGCCCGAGACUCUGAGGGUAGUUUGAGGCGUUCAGAGGGUGGGGUCUUGCCUUCCGAAGGCUGGGUCAGGCCCUCCGGGGGCGGGUUCCUUGCCUCAAGGGGCGGGACCAGGGCGUCAGGGGGCGGAGUCGCGGGUUGUACAGAGGGCGGGACCAGGGCGCCAGGGGGCGGAGUCGUGGAUUGCACAGCGGCGUGGCUGCGGAGGCAAGCAGAGUCCCCGGACUUGUAGAAGCGUGCGAAGGUCUCAGAGGGCCUGUCCUGGUUCUGCGGGGUGAAUCCAGCCGCCCGAGCUAGCUCCCCGACCCUGGCGGAAAACCCCUGCAGCUGCUCUUGCCGCAGGUCUACCAGGUACCUGCAACCAGGAAGCGGUGUGUUAGGGGUCCUGGCUGACGGCCGUCAGCCUGGACGUUCCCUACCCUGUCCUCUGCCGGCUCACCGGGCUAAUUCCACGAUCAGGUGUCCUCCGGGAGCCACGCAAGCCCCGAGGUCGGGGCUGAGAAGAUGCACCAUCCUGGGCAGAGAAAAGGGGAGGACUGAGGCUCAGACUUGCAGGUCCCGAGGGAAGAGUGGGGCUGGGGGAUCCGCCCACUGAUUGAGGACGGUCUGGGGGCCAAGAUUCCUGGGCCUAAGGGAGGAGAUGUUGGGGGAGAGAAGUCCGGGAACCUCCCUCUUACCCACAGGCCACGUAGAGAAGCUGGAACCGUCCCUCGUAGCAGCUCUUGUGGUGAAGGGUUUGGGCAGAGCCGAGAGGCAGGAAGUGAACGGUGAAUUCCGGGGAAGGGGCAGCUGGGGAAGACUCGCAGAGUUAGACAACAGACAAAGCUUGGAGAUAAGACUCUUUGCUUGUCUUGAAGCCCUUCCUCACAAGUGGGUUCCUGGAAAAUUCUGGGAAAGUCAGCCCGGCAGGUAGAGAGACCCAUCUUACAGACUAGGCAACUGAGACUCAAAAGAGGGCAAGAAUGGGUGGCCCUUCCUGGUGCCACAGGACAUCCAGGAAGAACCAGGUUGGGGGAUAGUUACAAGGAGGCAGACCGGAAUUGAGGUGUGUGUGGGGGGGUGCUGGGACACAGCACCUUGUUAGAAUGUUCUCGUCUUUUAGUCUUCUGCAGGUAGGAUUAGAAUUCUAUCAGAAUGGGCAAACCAUAAGAGACUCUUAAAUGCAGAGAACAAACUGAGGGUUGAUGGGGGGAGGGGGAGAGGGGAAAGUGGGUGAUGGGCAUUGAGGAGGGCACUUGUUGGGAUGAGCACUGGGUAUUGUAUGGAAGUCAAAUCGACAAUAUAUUUAUUUUUUUUUAAUUUUUUUUCAACGUUUAUUUAUUUUUGGGACAGAGAGAGACAGAGCAUGAACGGGGGAGGGGCAGAGAGAGAGGGAGACACAGAAUCGGAAACAGGCUCCAGGCUCCGAGCCAUCAGCCCAGAGCCUGACGCGGGGCUCGAACUCACGGACCGCGAGAUCGUGACCUGGCUGAAGUCAGACGCUUAACCGACUGCGCCACCCAGGCGCCCCAAUAAAUUAUAUUUAAAGAAAACAAUUCUAUCUGAAUGACAAUAAUGGUGUUAGGAUUUAGGAAAGGGAGAGAAAUACAAAGAGAAGAGAGAAAAAUCGACAACCACAGGUACAAGAGACCAUUUGUCCAGGCAUUGGAGGCCAUAUCAGUACACACUCUGGGCUCGAAAUCCCUGGAACCCGAAGCCCAGGAUGGGGGUCCGGGUCCCACUCCUCCCCGGAGGAUGAUGUGGCCACUGUGUCACCCAACUCGCAUUUCAAGAGGGUGAGCUGACUGACACGCUUACCGCGCUCCGGGCUUCCAGGGCCCUCGCCGUGCACCUGCUCAGGGGUUCCGUGGUUGGCUGUCGGGCGCCCCCAGGCGGCCACCNCGGCCACCUCUCGGAACAGCUCCGUCACGUUGUGCUGGGUGAUCUCACUCGCGGUCUGGGGAGAGAAGGGGCGCGGCCAGGGUGACCCGGCAGGGCCUAGAGUACAGCACCCCUCCCCCAACGCCCAGCGCGAGCAUGCGGUGACGGAUGGGAUGCUGGUUAGUUUGGAUUUCCAGACUGGGCUGAGAAAGUAUGGGAGGGGGCGGGGCCUCGAAAACCCUCUCCCAGAACCCAGCACCUCCAGGCGCCCACCUUGACUGGCUGUCCGUUGCUGGUCCGCAGGAGGCUCUCAUCGUCCGCUUCGAUGCCAAAGGCCACGAAUGGUCCCGUGGCAACGUCCCCCCAGUACCCGCGCGCUGCGACACGCUCCCCGUGCUUGAGAAAGCAAGGAGCGAAGAGGCAGGUAGGGUCAACGUCCAAGACCCCGGUUCCUAUGUCCCCGAAAAGAAGGAUCGGCCAGGGCAGGGAGGUAGACACUCACAUGGCUCAGGAGGCGGCCAGACGCAAGGGUCCGGUUGGGCACGUGGUAGGCGCUGGAGUCUCUGAGUUCAAAGGCGACGCCUGUGUCCCUCCAACGCCGGAACUCGCGAGUGUGGAUGACUCGGGCCUGGGUAGGGAGAGGAAUGAACAGAAGCCUAAGUAAAUCUGGCAUAUGGCUCCCCAGCGUCCUCCCUCGGACCCAGGAGUCCAGGCCCCCAGACCCUCCUCCCUCAGAGACCAGACUGCCAGUCCCUCCUCCCUCGGACCCAGGAGUCCGGCCCCUCAGCCCCUCCUCCCUCGGACCCAGGAAUCAGGCCCCCAGCCCUUCCUCCCCCGGACCCGGGAAUCAGCCCCUCCUCCCUCAGACCC